This 885-nucleotide long non-coding RNA is filed under the name Anolis carolinensis (green anole). Its description in RNAcentral is "lncRNA (ENSACAG00000035675.1)". Lineage: Eukaryota; Metazoa; Chordata; Lepidosauria; Squamata; Anolidae. The record is from RNAcentral.
GCCCUGAAAGGAAGGGGAGGGGGAUUUCGCUGAGCUCUUUCCCCCCACUAACCUCUGGUCCAGGCUUUAUAGCAGAAAGAUUCCUUCCCAGGACAGGAGAGUUCACUUGUCUUGACAUCCUCCUCAAGCCAAAGGUGGCCCCGGCUCUUUAAAACUUGGCAUCGGUAGGAGGGUCUCCUGAAAGAAGAAGCGCGAGACCUUGGAUAUGAAGGCGGGGAGAGGCCGCAAAGGCCAUCCAGCCCAACCCCCUUUAAAGUAGGAAGAGGCCACCAAAGCAUCUCCGCAGAUUAUUUAUUGAUGGUGUCAGAAACGAACUGAGAACACAGCUAUAAUGUAUAAUAAAGCACAAGAGAAAAAGAAUGUGCUGAGAUCUGUGUUAACAUGUCAACAACCUAGCUCAAUUCUCAUUCCUACAUCGACAGAAUAGAAUCACCUUACAUUGCCAGCAAAGAGUCUUCGAACUGUCAAACUGUGCCCCAGGCAGAGGGCGCAUCCUGGACAAGAACUACCUGGCCAUUGUCCACGGACAACCAACAUUGCAUCCCAUCUGAGACUGCCUCAGUUGCAAGCCAGCUAUCACCAGGCAAAGAUCAAAACAAAGGCGCUGAUCGCCCAAGAUACCCCAAUAGAUAUUUUUGGACUUUUCCUUUAUUUCAGAAUGCCUAAGAGUGGAACUGGAGAUCACCACCUUUUGUCCACCACCUUUUGUCUUUUGUGCAGGAGGCUGUACAAGAUUUACCAUCAAGUCAAGCCUACCAUUUUGAAUUCACCAUUGUUAGUUUUGUCCAAGCCGUCCACAAUGUUUUUUGAAGUCCGUUAUGAAGAGUAAGAAGAUGUGUCAUCUUGUUGUUUUUAUGUGGUGGUUUUGUUAUUUUAUAACCUGGG